CGAUGAUCCCAGCUUGCUGGGGGAUUAGUGGCGAACGGGUGAGUAACACGUGAGUAACCUGCCCUUAACUCUGGGAUAAGCCUGGGAAACUGGGUCUAAUACCGGAUAUGACUCCUCAUCGCAUGGUGGGGGGUGGAAAGCUUUAUUGUGGUUUUGGAUGGACUCGCGGCCUAUCAGCUUGUUGGUGAGGUAAUGGCUCACCAAGGCGACGACGGGUAGCCGGCCUGAGAGGGUGACCGGCCACACUGGGACUGAGACACGGCCCAGACUCCUACGGGAGGCAGCAGUGGGGAAUAUUGCACAAUGGGCGAAAGCCUGAUGCAGCGACGCCGCGUGAGGGAUGACGGCCUUCGGGUUGUAAACCUCUUUCAGUAGGGAAGAAGCGAAAGUGACGGUACCUGCAGAAGAAGCGCCGGCUAACUACGUGCCAGCAGCCGCGGUAAUACGUAGGGCGCAAGCGUUAUCCGGAAUUAUUGGGCGUAAAGAGCUCGUAGGCGGUUUGUCGCGUCUGCCGUGAAAGUCCGGGGCUCAACUCCGGAUCUGCGGUGGGUACGGGCAGACUAGAGUGAUGUAGGGGAGACUGGAAUUCCUGGUGUAGCGGUGAAAUGCGCAGAUAUCAGGAGGAACACCGAUGGCGAAGGCAGGUCUCUGGGCAUUAACUGACGCUGAGGAGCGAAAGCAUGGGGAGCGAACAGGAUUAGAUACCCUGGUAGUCCAUGCCGUAAACGUUGGGCACUAGGUGUGGGGGACAUUCCACGUUUUCCGCGCCGUAGCUAACGCAU
Molecule: ribosomal RNA, 782 nt
Filed under: Arthrobacter sp. 7PE5.4
Lineage: Bacteria; Bacillati; Actinomycetota; Actinomycetes; Micrococcales; Micrococcaceae
Description: bacterial SSU rRNA
Rfam family: Bacterial small subunit ribosomal RNA
Source: RNAcentral